Molecule: long non-coding RNA, 2855 nt
Organism: Bombus impatiens (common eastern bumble bee)
Lineage: Eukaryota; Metazoa; Arthropoda; Insecta; Hymenoptera; Apidae
Exons: 3
Source: RefSeq, a predicted model, not a curated record
UCAGCACAAGAAAAAGGCGUAUUCGUCGAAAAUACAUGGAAAAUUGAUCGGACGAAAUUACAUAGAUAAUAAUGAGGAUGCAAUUAAAACGCUGCACGCGGGGCGCAUGUGUCAAAGUUGGCGCGAAAAGUGGGACGUGUUUCUCGUGUUCCUGCGGAGAAACAGCUGUCUCUAUUCCGCGGCGAAUCCCUUGGCAGCAGGAAAAUUAGGUACGGAUUCCUCUAGUCUCGAUCGGAGAUGCCCGUCACGAAUUAGCAUUUAUAUCACCGUGGUACCGUGCAACGAGGUGGAAAUGGAAUAUCCAGAACGCCGUGAUAGAGACUCGCCCGGUCUUCCUGCCACGAAUUAAUAUGUCCGUGUCUCCUCCAGCUGGAAUCGAUCGUCUUGUAACAGAAACUCGAAGCGGAUUUCUACGCCGAACAGGGGCCCGAUCAACAAGCUGCUCGUUCCUUCGGCUUCUUCUCGACAAAUGGAUUGUACCUGUUUCCUCUGGACGCCUGUUUCAUCAACCACGGCGUCAGCGUUCCGUCUCAAUAAUCAUUGCGGUCUUUCACGUCAUCGCGAGCAAGCGUAAAAUCGUAAUCCAAUUUGUCUGCGGAGGCCGCAACGAGCGAACGAAGGCGACGCGGCCCGGUCGAAUGAAGUCGUCGCGCAUCCCUGGCCUGGGCCGCCCGUUUAAUCAUCAUAAAUUUCGCGAGGAAACCGCAAACCAUCGUUCUCCCUUACGUCCACUUUGUCCCGGGGCCCGUGAGGCCGCUUCAAACGUGUCACGACGUUCCACGCGUGUUUCUCGUCGUGGUUUCACUUUGGACAGCCAUCCACCGCUUCGUUUUUGUCGCGAUGCAGGUGUUAGAAGGCUUGGUUGCACGCAGACCUUCGUUCGAAGCGGACGUUCUACAGAAAAUUUAUGACGUACCUGCAGCUUUAAAUUCCUCGGAAUCGAAGAAUUGCCACCGCAAAGAUCUGGCAAGCUCAGAGAAGCUGAUUCCGUGAAAACGGAAAGAAUCCGGGGGCUCCGCUUUAAUCAAGGUCGAAUGUUCAUUCUCCACGUCCACGGUCGGGCUAUCAAAUACAAUCACCGAACGUGCGGCGUCUUUUUCCUUUUCCCGUAGCGACCGGAUGCACAGUCUAACACACACCCUCUUCACCUACCGAAGCCAGAGUCGAUUCGUUCUCGCUCUCACGAAUUGAAUCCAGCCCAGUGGUGGUGAAGCAGUUUCUGGAGGGAAGAUGAAGGAGCGAGAGAAGGUUGCCCUGGCAACGACAGAGGGUUUCUCGACGUUGGUUGCCCGGGCAACCUCUAACCGGCGAUCCCUAAAUAUGCGCCAGCAGGCCAGAAGUGGCGUGAAAGAGGGAGGGAAAAGAGGGUGAGAAGAAGAGGUCGAGCCUGUAAGAAGAGGAAAGGGAGAAUCAGGGUGAGAGAGGAAAGAUCCUCGCCACUGGUUGGCAGAAGGAGCAUACCGGUGGGUUGGUAACUGUUACCGCGGAAGGUGAGGAGACCCAGUUAAUUACUAAAGCGUUUUAAUCGUCGGCAAAGUUCCGACGGCACUCAGGAGUCUGGACCAAAAGGGCUUCGGAGAAUGUGGCGGCUGUGUAAAUUAGGAACUCGCCAGUUUCCCUCUAGACUGUGUACACGAGUUUGUCUACCACGUUCAAGGAGCAAACCGGCAAGUUUUAACGGGGUGGGACGCGCGGUACGCGAAGCAGUCGAAUUUUUAUUCCAAUCGUCUUAUGAGAUUUUUACAUUAUUUUCUUACAAGAAACGAACGAUGCGUUUGGCGGGUCAAUUUCAAUUCAUCGAUCUUCAGAACAUUUAUUGACGUUAAUGAGCAAUUUAUAAUUCGAUUAAUCAAUAGACAAAACCUCAAAGUGCUAAAAAUAUGCUCACCGUCGAUUCCUCGAUUCACGAAGCAACAAUAUUCGUCAAUGUAUUACUUCGCGCUUAACUCAGCCAGGUUUACGUAAAUGUUAAACAAUUUAUCAAAUUUCUUAUCCAACUUUACUUGCUGGGAAAAGCCAUUACAUCAUUUCCGUAAUACAAAGUAACAAAAUACGAAGCAACAGACGAUGCCAUAGAUCUUCAGUCAGCACAAGAUCGUUGAAAAGCGUCGAAUUCCGGCGUCGAUCGGCGCAAUACGUUCACCUAUUCAUCCAAAUAGACGAGGACACGUCGGUAACCAAGCUAGCCCGACGUCCCGCGUUAAAUAACUUUGCUUAACAAGGUGCUGCCGCCACUGUAAAAAGAUUACGUAAGCGGUAAUGGCCGCCGGCUCCUCCUAAAUUCGAGUACGAAGAGUUCCAGCCACGGAGUGCACCGAGUCGAGAAGCAAGGCGCGAGAAAGAGAGGAUGAUAGAGGCUGAGGGGGAACAGGAAUGGCGAACGGGAAGGAGGAGGAGGUGUAGGAGGAGGGAGAGGCGACACGACGCCCGGUGGCGGGGGUUAAUUUUAAUUUCCUAAUUUUUCCCACCCCGAGGCACAGGUAAUUUCCUCCCCAGAAGAGAAUAGAUGUAAUUACUUAACGCCUCCGAGCUCAGAGCUCCUCUUAUUAAAAGAGGAUCGUGCCCUCGAGGGCUGGAGGGGUGGAAGAUACUCGUCUGGUGGGGGUGGGAGUGGAGUGGUGGAAGCACAACAAUCGUCGGAGAACGAUCGCGAAGAAAGGGAAACGUUGUCGGGCUCGUUCCCUCGAAGAUGAACAACGGCGGAGAUCAAGCUUCAUCGUGCUUUCGAUCGUCUCUGGCUUUCCCAGAAUAUUUCUGCGUCGAUCUCUUCAAGUCUGUAUUCGUGAAAUCCUCCGGAGGACAGUUGCGAGUUGUUUAAUAAAAAAAAAAAAAAAAAAAAGGGAAGAAGGGGAAAG